GACGAACGCUGGCGGCGUGCCUAAUACAUGCAAGUCGAACGCACUCUCGUUUAGAUUGAAGGAGCUUGCUCCUGAUUGAUAAACAUUUGAGUGAGUGGCGGACGGGUGAGUAACACGUGGGUAACCUGCCCUAAAGUGGGGGAUAACAUUUGGAAACAGAUGCUAAUACCGCAUAAAACCUAACACCGCAUGGUGUAGGGUUGAAAGAUGGUUUCGGCUAUCACUUUAGGAUGGACCCGCGGUGCAUUAGUUAGUUGGUGAGGUAAAGGCUCACCAAGACCGUGAUGCAUAGCCGACCUGAGAGGGUAAUCGGCCACACUGGGACUGAGACACGGCCCAGACUCCUACGGGAGGCAGCAGUAGGGAAUCUUCCACAAUGGACGAAAGUCUGAUGGAGCAACGCCGCGUGAGUGAAGAAGGUUUUCGGAUCGUAAAACUCUGUUGUUGGAGAAGAAUGUAUCUGAUAGUAACUGAUCAGUAGUGACGGUAUCCAACCAGAAAGCCACGG
Molecule: ribosomal RNA, 508 nt
Filed under: uncultured bacterium
Lineage: Bacteria
Description: bacterial SSU rRNA
Rfam family: Bacterial small subunit ribosomal RNA
Source: RNAcentral